GCGGAUGGAGCUGAAGCCAGUCGAAGAUACCAGCUGGCUGCAACUGUUUAAUAAAAACACAGCACUGUGCAAACACGAAAGUGGACGUAUACGGUGUGACGCCUGCCCGGUGCUGGAAGGUUAAUUGAUGGGGUCAGCCGCAAGGCGAAGCUCUUGAUCGAAGCCCCAGUAAACGGCGGCCGUAACUAUAACGGUCCUAAGGUAGCGAAAUUCCUUGUCGGGUAAGUUCCGACCUGCACGAAUGGCGUAAUGAUGGCCAGGCUGUCUCCACCCGAGACUCAGUGAAAUUGAACUCGCUGUGAAGAUGCAGUGUACCCGCGGCAAGACGGAAAGACCCCGUGAACCUUUACUAUAGCUUGACACUGAACAUUGAGCCUUGAUGUGUAGGAUAGGUGGGAGGCUUUGAAGCGUGGACGCCAGUCUGCGUGGAGCCAUCCUUGAAAUACCACCCUUUAAUGUUUGAUGUUCUAACUCGGCCCCAUAAUCUGGGGUGAGGACAGUGUCUGGUGGGUAGUUUGACUGGGGCGGUCUCCUCCCAAAGAGUAACGGAGGAGCACGAAGGUUAGCUAAUCACGGUCGGACAUCGUGAGGUUAGUGCAAAGGCAUAAGCUAGCUUGACUGCGAGAGUGACGGCUCGAGCAGGUACGAAAGUAGGUCUUAGUGAUCCGGUGGUUCUGAAUGGAAGGGCCAUCGCUCAACGGAUAAAAGGUACUCCGGGGAUAACAGGCUGAUACCGCCCAAGAGUUCAUAUCGACGGCGGUGUUUGGCACCUCGAUGUCGGCUCAUCACAUCCUGGGGCUGAAGUAGGUCCCAAGGGUAUGGCUGUUCGCCAUUUAAAGUGGUACGCGAGCUGGGUUUAGAACGUCGUGAGACAGUUCGGUCCCUAUCUGCCGUGGGCG
RNAcentral lists this ribosomal RNA (899 nucleotides) under human gut metagenome. Its description in RNAcentral is "bacterial LSU rRNA". It matches the Rfam family "Bacterial large subunit ribosomal RNA", at positions 1757 to 2653 of the family's 2925-position model. The record is from RNAcentral.